This 369-nucleotide long non-coding RNA is filed under the name Nicotiana benthamiana. Its description in RNAcentral is "long non-coding RNA (NBEN_LNC025446)". The record is from RNAcentral. Lineage: Eukaryota; Viridiplantae; Streptophyta; Magnoliopsida; Solanales; Solanaceae.
AGUUUGGAAAAUUAAAAAAAAAAGUUAACGUUGAAAGAAGAAGAAAAAAAACAAAGGACUAAGGAUGGAGGAUCGAGAGAAAAAGUUUUUUCAUUUGGAAAGCGACGAAAGUUCAGUGUUGAUGUUCAGAUUCGAGUUACGUUCGCUAUCCUCACCCGUUUUCUUGUAAUAGCUGGUCUUCUUUUACAUUAUUGAAAGCUUCUGCAAAUGUUCAUAUUCUCUAUUUUUAUUAUUUUUCAGUCUUUGAAUUUGUAUGUAUUUUAUGUGUUUAGUAAUGUUUAAUGUGAUGUGUAUCUUAUUUAGUUUUGUUUCCAUUGUUUAGUUCUCUUUAAUCUUUCUUAAUAUUAAUUCUGACGCUUAGAUAGUGCU